RNAcentral lists this unclassified non-coding RNA (610 nucleotides) under Bombus terrestris (buff-tailed bumblebee). Its description in RNAcentral is "misc RNA ENSBTSG00005038245.1". Lineage: Eukaryota; Metazoa; Arthropoda; Insecta; Hymenoptera; Apidae. The record is from RNAcentral.
GCAAGUUUACUAUCCAUUUAAAUCAAUACAAUCAAUUCGUAGCGAUUAAAUUAAUGAUUUAUUUCCUUUUAUUUAACAUUAACGAAAUCUUUGAAGUUUUUGAAAUAUUUAAAUGCAAAGUGUAUCUAUCGAGCGUCUAUAGAUGGAAUGUAGUUCUUCAUGUCCAAGGCCAAGGAAUCAACAUCGUAUUCAUGGAAUCAAGAAAGCAAGUGCAAUUUAAUCGAAGGCAACGAGAUCUCAUUAUCCUUUCAUGCGUACUACAAUUGCUAAGUCGCAUGGUUUGGUUUCUUCGACGAUGAGUUCAAUAUUCAAACAUGAUUACAUGGAUCCAUAUAUUGUACCUGUUCUAAUUAAUAAAUUUCAAUACACGUUAUAAAUUAAUUUUGCAUCUUCUGUUUUCGAUGCUUAAAAACUUCUUACGUAUAUGGGACUCGGUAAUUGGUAUCGUUUUCCAAAUAAUAAUACACAAAGUACUAUUUUGAAUAGUAGAAAAUUAAUGUAACGUUAAUUUUAAUAUUAGGAUUAGAUUGCUAUUGGAAAAUAUACAUAUUAAUAUUACCGAGUAUUACUAUUUGAAAAACGAUAUCUAGCUAAAAGCUACUUAAUAUAG